RNAcentral lists this ribosomal RNA (779 nucleotides) under uncultured bacterium. RNAcentral describes it as "bacterial SSU rRNA". It matches the Rfam family "Bacterial small subunit ribosomal RNA", at positions 9 to 789 of the family's 1533-position model. The record is from RNAcentral.
GAGUUUGAUCCUGGCUCAGAUUGAACGCUGGCGGAAUGCUUUACACAUGCAAGUCGAACGGUAGAGGGGGCAACCCCUUGAGAGUGGCGAACGGGUGAGUAAUAUAUCGGAACGUGCCCAGUCGUGGGGGAUAACGUAGUGAAAAUUACGCUAAUACCGCAUACGAUCUAAGGAUGAAAGCGGGGGAUCGCAAGACCUCGCGCGACUGGAGCGGCCGAUAUCAGAUUAGGUAGUUGGUAGGGUAAAGGCCUACCAAGCCAACGAUCUGUAGCUGGUCUGAGAGGACGACCAGCCACACUGGAACUGAGACACGGUCCAGACUCCUACGGGAGGCAGCAGUGGGGAAUUUUGGACAAUGGGCGAAAGCCUGAUCCAGCCAUUCCGCGUGCAGGAUGAAGGCCCUCGGGUUGUAAACUGCUUUUGUACAGAACGAAAAGGUUUCUAUUAAUACUAGGAGCUCAUGACGGUACUGUAAGAAUAAGCACCGGCUAACUACGUGCCAGCAGCCGCGGUAAUACGUAGGGUGCAAGCGUUAAUCGGAAUUACUGGGCGUAAAGCGUGCGCAGGCGGUUAUAUAAGUCAGAUGUGAAAUCCCCGGGCUCAACCUGGGAACUGCAUUUGAGACUGUAUAGCUAGAGUACGGUAGAGGGGGAUGGAAUUCCGCGUGUAGCAGUGAAAUGCGUAGAUAUGCGGAGGAACACCGAUGGCGAAGGCAAUCCCCUGGACCUGUACUGACGCUCAUGCACGAAAGCGUGGGGAGCAAACAGGAUAGAUACCUG